Molecule: ribosomal RNA, 497 nt
Filed under: uncultured bacterium
Lineage: Bacteria
Description: partial 16S ribosomal RNA
Rfam family: Bacterial small subunit ribosomal RNA
Source: RNAcentral
GAUGAACGCUGGCGGCGUGCCUAAUACAUGCAAGUCGAGCGAACGGACGAGAAGCUUGCUUCUCUGAUGUUAGCGGCGGACGGGUGAGUAACACGUGGAUAACCUACCUAUAAGACUGGGAUAACUUCGGGAAACCGGAGCUAAUACCGGAUGAUAUUUUGAACCGCAUGGUUCAAAAGUGAAAGACGGUCUUGCUGUCACUUAUAGAUGGAUCCGCGCUGCAUUAGCUAGUUGGUAAGGUAACGGCUUACCAAGGCAACGAUGCAUAGCCGACCUGAGAGGGUGAUCGGCCACACUGGAACUGAGACACGGUCCAGACUCCUACGGGAGGCAGCAGUAGGGAAUCUUCCGCAAUGGGCGAAAGCCUGACGGAGCAACGCCGCGUGGGUGAUGAAGGUCUUCGGGUCGUAAAACUCUGUCAUUAGGGAAGAACAGAUGUGUAAGUAACUGUGCACAUCUUGACGGUACCUAAACAGAAAGCCACGGCUAACUACGUG